This 489-nucleotide ribosomal RNA is filed under the name uncultured bacterium. RNAcentral describes it as "bacterial SSU rRNA". It matches the Rfam family "Bacterial small subunit ribosomal RNA", at positions 381 to 888 of the family's 1533-position model. The record is from RNAcentral.
UCCUGAUCCAGCCAUGCCGCGUGAGUGAAGAAGGCCUUAGGGUUGUAAAGCUCUUUCAUAGGUGAAGAUUAUGACGGUAGCUAUAGAAGAAGCCCCGGCUAACUUCGUGCCAGCAGCCGCGGUAAUACGAAUGGGGCAAGCGUUGUUCGGAAUCACUGGGCUUAAAGCGUGCGCAGGCGGACUUGAAAGUCAGGAGUGAAAUCCCGGGGCUCAACCCUGGAACUGCUUCUGAAACUCCAAAUCUAGAAUUCAGUAGAGGUUAGGAGAAUUCCGAGUGUAGAGGUGAAAUUCGUAGAUAUUCGGAGGAAUACCAGUGGCGAAGGCGCCUAACUGGACUGAUAUUGACGCUCAUGUACGAAAGCGUGGGGAGCAAACAGGAUUAGAUACCCUGGUAGUCCACGCCGUAAACGAUGUGUGCUAGUUGUCGGAGGCUUAAGUCUUCGGUGACGUAGGGAAACCAUUAAGCACCCCGCCUGGGGAGUACGACCG